UUCCAGGACCAUAAACCUGAGUUAUACAGUAGGUGUUUAAAAUACUUAGAUAUGCUUUUGCUUUAAAAGUUCCUUCCUAUACACAGGAAUAGAUCCUGACGUCGUCAUCUUUUAUUGCCUACACUGUAAAAAAUUUCCGGGAUUUCACAAGAUGUAACAGUAAUAUUUCACAGUAACUUACAUUAUUAGCAUUUCACAGGCAUUAACUGUGAUAUUUCACAAUAUAGUGCAGUGUUGAGACUUUUAUUGUAAAAAGAAUGCCAUCAGCGAAAUUACAGGAAGCGGCUGUGACUUUCCUCCCGCGCUGGCGCUAUCUUUGAGUUCUCUCAUCUCUGCGGAUUCAGUGGUUCUUCCCACAGCAUCUCACAGCGGCACUUUUUGGGCAUUAAUCCGGAGACAGGCACAAAGUCAAAGAAGCAGAAAGGACUCAUCAACCAGCAAGUCUGUACACUCAUAAGAAAACAUAUUGAUUUUGAAUGGAUGUUAGUCUAGUGUGAUCCAAAAUUUUGUUCUUUGUUUAGCUAGGCAGUUAUGCACUUUACUAAUUACUAUGUUCUAUAUUGUCUCUUUGUUCAAUAAAGAAACACUACGCUGUAAAAA
Long non-coding RNA from Silurus meridionalis, 600 nucleotides. RefSeq lists it as uncharacterized. Lineage: Eukaryota; Metazoa; Chordata; Actinopteri; Siluriformes; Siluridae. The transcript is spliced from 3 exons. The record is from RefSeq and is a predicted model, not a curated record.